AACCUUAUGGACCUGCGGGCGUAUACCUGCGGAGGGAUCAUUACCGAGUGAGGGCCUCCGGGUCCGACCUCCAACCCCAUGUCAUCUGAACCCUGUUGCCUCGGGGGCGACCCGGCCCUCUUGGGCGUCGGGGCCCCCGGUGGACCACAAACACUGCAUCUUUGCGUCGGAGUGAUAAAUCAAAUCAAUCAAAACUUUCAACAACGGAUCU
Molecule: unclassified non-coding RNA, 211 nt
Filed under: soil metagenome
Description: partial contains 5.8S ribosomal RNA, internal transcribed spacer 2, and large subunit ribosomal RNA
Source: RNAcentral